This 1192-nucleotide long non-coding RNA is filed under the name Apteryx owenii (little spotted kiwi). Its description in RNAcentral is "lncRNA (ENSAOWG00000001833.1)". The record is from RNAcentral. Lineage: Eukaryota; Metazoa; Chordata; Aves; Apterygiformes; Apterygidae.
AUGUCCUCAAUUUGUCUGAAAGAUCUCUUUGAGUCCAAAGUGGCAGAAACUCCAAUCCAGCAUUUCCAGAGGAGCCCUUCCGUGACAUCUAGCGCUUUGGGUCCUUUCAGGCGCCAAAGUUUCUUUGACCAAGUAGAUCGAUCACUAAAGACAGACAGCCUGACCAUCAAAUCAGCUCUACGUGUGCAGAGACCACACAGUACCUCCAAUGUGCAGGCUAAGAGAUUCACAAAUCUUCUACAUCUUGUAAAAGAAAAGGCCAUUACAGAUUUGCUCAGGAGCAGAAUACAGUCACGGCAGGAAACAUGGGAACAAGAAUCACAGGAGCAGGACAGGCAGCAAAAGGAGCACCAGGCGGCCAAAAGGAGAGUGUUCCAGAACAGAGACCGUUCCCAUCAGAAGAUGGAAGAGAAAGGCCAGAAACACUGUGACCUCCAGCAGUACCUCAGAGACCAGAAUCUUUUGAUGCUCCGGACCUCACUACUAGAGUGAAGAAGCUGCAGUGUGGAAGAGAAACAGCAAGACACACCAAGAGCCAGCUUUAUACAAGAGGAAAGGAGAGAAGAGCUUUUGAAUGCAUUGUACUCUGAUUAACAGAAGCAACUUCAUUCACAAAGGAGGAGGGAGGUUAUGGAUGGCAUGUCCUCAAGUGCUAUCCUUCUUCCUCAUAUCAUCAGCGAUAUAAAGUAUAGCAGCUGUGUCCCAGAGAACACUAUCAGCAGCUUUGAGUGGCCAGAAUUUAACUGUUUCAUUUUCAUGUUAUUUUCACAAGUAGUUAGGAAAUGAGAAUGGACAUGGCACAAUGUAUUUGAUGGACCACUCUGAGCCAUAUCAAAGGCCAUUCUUAGUUCCUACAGAAGUAGGUUAAAUACAAAUUUAAAACGCUUGAGAGCCUUUGUUUUAAGUAAUGCCCAGAAACAAGCAAUACAAAAAUUAAAAUGCUGUUGCCUGACAUUUUGUGUACACUUAGAAACAUAUAACACUAUAUCCACAUAAGUAGUUUCUCUUCUUUGCUUAACCAUCUGAAAACAUACUACUACAGAGCCCUUGUGCCACUGCAAUUUCAUGAAAAAUAUAUCUGGAAAUAUAUUUAGUAUUAAAAUAUUUCCUAUCAUUCACAGACUGUUUCUUACUAUUAAUAUAAGGUCAUAAAAUCAUUUUUAAGAAUACCAUUAAAAUGACUGUAAGAGGC